RNAcentral lists this small nucleolar RNA (106 nucleotides) under Colletotrichum fructicola Nara gc5. RNAcentral describes it as "small nucleolar RNA SNORD14". The record is from RNAcentral. Lineage: Eukaryota; Fungi; Ascomycota; Sordariomycetes; Glomerellales; Glomerellaceae.
UUUGCAUGAUUAAAUGUUCCACCUUAUUCGCAGUUUCCACGCAAGACGUCACUCGAGCCUUUGAGACGUGCGAUGAGCGUUCAACCUUCCUUGGAUGUAUGACCUA